Long non-coding RNA from Lontra canadensis (Northern American river otter), 278 nucleotides. RefSeq lists it as uncharacterized. The transcript has 3 exons. The record is from RefSeq and is a predicted model, not a curated record. NCBI's taxonomy places the organism in Eukaryota, Metazoa, Chordata, Mammalia, Carnivora, Mustelidae.
CGUACGGGGAUCAGCGCGCGGAGGGAGCCACAGCCCGCGCCGCAGAGGGGACACCGCGAGAGAUGUCACCAUGCAAGGAUAUGGCCACUUGUAUCGAGGCAUCAGGUUGCUGUCUGAAAUGGAGAGGAGCAUAUAGCAGUGUAAGCCCGGCAGGAACAUUUAGGCCAUCCCUGCCAGGGAUCUGUUGGAGGCCUGCUUCAUGCAACAUACUUCACUGGGUACUGUCAGGAGGGCGGGGAAGCAUGAGAUUUGAGCUUGAAAGCUGCUUGGAGAGUGAA